Molecule: long non-coding RNA, 376 nt
Filed under: Bos taurus (domestic cattle)
Lineage: Eukaryota; Metazoa; Chordata; Mammalia; Artiodactyla; Bovidae
Description: long non-coding RNA NONBTAT022177
Source: RNAcentral
AACUGGAAAGUUCUUUUUAAUAAUACUUACUUUACUGUGAUAUGUUAUGCUACUUACAAAUCCCCAAAUGAGAAACAAGUGUUGAAGAGAAAAAAGAUUACAACACACAGGAUAACUGACUCCAUACUUAUUCAUCAGGACAUACUAUAAUGUAUUUCCUUAACAGUCACGUUGUCUGUUUGUGAAGGUUGUCUUCUGUUUACUAACCCCUUACUGUAACUAAGAUUCUUCAGCCACCAAUUUCACACUGAGUGGAAAUAAAUUUUGGUCUUGCAAUUGAGUAAAAACUAUUUUGUUAGAAACUGGCAUUACCAAGUUGAGAGUACCACAAAGCAUUAUAUCUGGUUUAUAUCAAAUCAUUUUUUUUGUUUUAUUU